Molecule: microRNA precursor, 103 nt
Filed under: Marmota monax (woodchuck)
Lineage: Eukaryota; Metazoa; Chordata; Mammalia; Rodentia; Sciuridae
Source: RNAcentral
AGUGGGGUUGCUGGGUCAUAUGAUAAUCCUAUGUCGAGCUUUUUGAUGAAAUACCAGACUAUUUUCCAAAGUGGUUGCACUGUUUUACAUAUCCAUCAGCAAC